RNAcentral lists this transfer RNA (73 nucleotides) under Camelus bactrianus (Bactrian camel). It matches the Rfam family "tRNA". From Rfam's summary of the family: Transfer RNA (tRNA) molecules are approximately 80 nucleotides in length. Their secondary structure includes four short double-helical elements and three loops (D, anti-codon, and T loops). Further hydrogen bonds mediate the characteristic L-shaped molecular structure. tRNAs have two regions of fundamental functional importance: the anti-codon, which is responsible for specific mRNA codon recognition, and the 3' end, to which the tRNAs corresponding amino acid is attached (by aminoacyl-tRNA synthetases). tRNAs cope with the degeneracy of the genetic code in two manners: having more than one tRNA (with a specific anti-codon) for a particular amino acid; and 'wobble' base-pairing, i.e. permitting non-standard base-pairing at the 3rd anti-codon position. The record is from Rfam by way of RNAcentral. RNAcentral also lists the same sequence under 2 other names. Lineage: Eukaryota; Metazoa; Chordata; Mammalia; Artiodactyla; Camelidae.
GAGGGUAUAGCUCACUUGAUAGAGUGCCUGCUUAGCAUGCAUGAGGUCCUGGGUUCAGUCCCCAGUACCUCCA